Non-coding RNA from Acanthosepion pharaonis, 113 nucleotides. Lineage: Eukaryota; Metazoa; Mollusca; Cephalopoda; Sepiida; Sepiidae. The record is from the annotation of a GenBank genome assembly.
UAUGGCCAUACCAUGUUGAAACACUGUUUCCCAUGCAAUCACCAAUGUUAACCAACAUUGAAUCGAGUCAGUACCUUGAUGAUUGACUACUUGGGAAUACCAGGUGCUGUAAG